CCGUUCCAUCUCCUCCUCCGGCCGCCAGCCUCCUCUUUGCCCCUAUUCUUCACUGCCGGCGACUUCGGACGCCGCUGCGCCACGCGAGGUGGCUAGGCCGCCACCGUCCUCCACGCCUGGAACUACCCGUUGUUGACAUCCUGCCGUGGAUGCGUCUGGUGAAAAAAAUGGCGCCCUCCACCUUCUCAUCAUCGCCGACGACAGCAGCCAGCGGCGUAGCAGCCUGGUCUCCUCCACCUUAGAUGCGUAAAGGAACUGCAGGUACUCCCCUCUCUCUCUCUGAAUCCCUUUCCCUUGCUCUUUUGACCUGAUGUGAUGUUGCUUGGAGCUGGUGUGCAGCAGCCUGCCCUCCUCCACCUCGUUUUUGCCAAGGACCUGCAGGCCGUCUCUCUCUGGAUCCCUUUUCCUCUACCAUUUUGGCCUGAUGUGUUGGCGCUUGGAGCUGAUGUGCACCUCUUCCUACGAGAUCAGAUGAGUUCCUCCUACUCUUCCUUGUCCAUGUAUUUAUUCUAAGUGACUUCACAUAUCAUAUCUCUGUAACUGCUAGCUGCUGUAAGGAAAACAACAAGCCAAGAAAAAAGAGUAGACUCAAGAUUCAAGAGCAAGUAUGAAUCUGAACUGUUGUUGCUGCUCACCUCCUCUUUGGUCAUGUCUCAAGGCUUUGUUUCUGGGUAGUGGCGGCUUGGCCGCCGCCAGCUUCGCACCAUCUACACCUUCAGUCCUCGGCUCCUCUUCAUCGCGCACAUGAGCGGAAGGAGGCCAGCAGAAGAUGGCUCGAGAGCGAGCCGUCACGCCGUCGUCCUCAACAUCGUGGAGCGCGCAGGCUAGAGUCCCUACUCCAGCCCUUUUUCACAAUAGGUUCUUCCCUCUUUCUCUCGCAAUUCCAUACUUCCUGGUGAACAAUUUUGGUGAAAUUAUUGUGUGACUGGUUAGUAAAGGAGAUGCAAGGAAGGUUUUGAUUUUGCACAGAUUGUCCAGUGCCGCCAGGAGGAGGAGCACAAGCCGUUGUGGUGUCGCUGGGCCACAACUAUGAAAGUUGUGAUCUACUUCUCUGUGGCGCUCGGCAUGGGACCAUAUCCGACGCUGCACCACGACGAGUUGAGGUGAGGAGGCUUUGAAGAAUUUGAAUGGAGCACAAACUCACUGUCUGCGUCCUUGCGACGUCAUGGCAUCGCUAUUGUCUGCAUUCCUGGUGAUUUCUUUUUUAUUUGCCGGAUGUUCUUUGUGUCCUAUAUUCCUUUCUUAUGUUUCUUUCUAUUAUUUGGUCUCAGGAUUGUUCUUACCGGUUGUUUGUUUCAUACCUCAGAUCAUCUAAUCUACCUCUGUUUGCCUACCUUCUACUUCUCCGUUGAUGAAUCCCUGUUGUUUUCAAGUUGGCAAAAGUCUGUGUUUCGUUUGUGUGCCCCUGCAGAUUAGAGCGCAUGAGAAGCAACUGCAUUUCUUGUUUUAACCUCCUAUUCUCCUGAUGCAGAUGGAAACCAGAUGCAGGUCCACAGGAGAUGUUGUGUCCUUGUGAGCAGCAUUUUUUUCCGUAUCUAGAUUUAUUAGGUGCCUCAUGUGCUAUUUAGAGAUAGGCAUGCCCUUUUCCUGGCCGACCUGCGUUGCGUCGCACGUCUUCCUGCACAUUGUGUUCCGCCUUGGUUUCUUCAUGGUCAUGGAGGAUGCCAGCCAGCGGGGUGCAGCUCC
Molecule: non-coding RNA, 1686 nt
Organism: Lolium perenne
Lineage: Eukaryota; Viridiplantae; Streptophyta; Magnoliopsida; Poales; Poaceae
Source: RefSeq, a predicted model, not a curated record